UUUUCCAUAAAGUAACUCUGUGAACAACUAUUUUCACAUGAUUAGAAUAGGAUAAAAUAUUACAAAUUUGAUUUGGCACAUGUUUACAGACAAUUUUUUUUAAAUUUAAAUGGUCUGAAUUUACCUGAAAAACUGAAAUUUUAUUUUGCUUGCAUUUGGAAUUCUCAAGAAGCUAUUUUUUCAAGAACAAGAAUUUACAAUGUUAUGGCAACCAUAAUUUUUACAUAAUGAGAAAGUGUGGAU
RNAcentral lists this long non-coding RNA (243 nucleotides) under Mytilus galloprovincialis (Mediterranean mussel). Lineage: Eukaryota; Metazoa; Mollusca; Bivalvia; Mytilida; Mytilidae. The record is from RNAcentral.